Long non-coding RNA from Prunus persica (peach), 767 nucleotides. RefSeq lists it as uncharacterized. The transcript is spliced from 2 exons. The record is from RefSeq and is a predicted model, not a curated record. Lineage: Eukaryota; Viridiplantae; Streptophyta; Magnoliopsida; Rosales; Rosaceae.
AACAAAGAAAAGAAAUGUGAAAAAAAAAAAAGAGUCUUUGAGCUCACAGAAAGUUUCAACUAUAAGACGCAUAAACAGAGAGACAGAGGGUGGGGGUAUUCACAGUCAGUGUUUGUGUUCUUCACUGAUCUAUGUUAUUGUCUUCGAAGGUUCCUAAUUAAGGACUGCUUCAUUGGAAGAAUGUAUUCUGAUAGCAAAGAUUGCAGUUGGCUACCCAUGGGAGAAUGCUCAUGUGUCAUAUUUACUGCUUUGUGGCGUGGCUGUUUAUCCAGGUGAAGUUAGACCAUAUGGAUAGAAAUUUGGGUAAAGGUACAAUGGAUCAACAGAAAAACUACGAGCAAGUUCGAUACAGUACUGUUGAAACUAGAAAUGAGGGACAUGGGUCUGCCAAUCAAAGGUUUUUCCCGGAUCCAUCAAGUAAUAUUAACACUAACAUGCGACCUCCAGAUUACAAUGUUGCUGUUGGAGCCAGGCCUGUGUCGAAUUACUCCAUUCAGACCGGUGAGGAAUUUGCUCUUGAAUUUAUGCGGGAGAGGGUGAACCCAAGGCAGCAUUUACAAAGUGUACUGGCGCUUAGGACAUCCAUCCAAGUGUACUCUUCCUUAUUUACAAAGUUUGAAUUCAAAAAUUUCUUUUGAUAAUAAUCAUGCUUGCACUAUUUGCCCUUUGGCUAAACAUUGUCGGCUUUCUUUUCCUUUAAGCACUAUAUCAACAAAUGCUUGCUUCGAUUUAAUACAUUGUGAUGUUUGGGGACCUUAUUCUGUUUC